This 1026-nucleotide ribosomal RNA is filed under the name Mariannaea camptospora. RNAcentral describes it as "SSU rRNA". It matches the Rfam family "Eukaryotic small subunit ribosomal RNA", at positions 71 to 1105 of the family's 1831-position model. The record is from RNAcentral. Lineage: Eukaryota; Fungi; Ascomycota; Sordariomycetes; Hypocreales; Nectriaceae.
GCAUUAUACCGCGAAACUGCGAAUGGCUCAUUAUAUAAGUUAUCGUUUAUUUCGAUAGUACCUUACUACAUGGAUAACCGUGGUAAUUCUAGAGCUAAUACAUGCUAAAAAUCCCAACUUCGGAAGGGAUGUAUUUAUUAGAUUAAAAACCAAUGCCCUUCGGGGCUCACUGGUGAUUCAUAAUAACUUCUCGAAUCGCAUGGCCUUGCGCCGGCGAUGGUUCAUUCAAAUUUCUUCCCUAUCAACUUUCGAUGUUUGGGUAUUGGCCAAACAUGGUUGCAACGGGUAACGGAGGGUUAGGGCUCGACCCCGGAGAAGGAGCCUGAGAAACGGCUACUACAUCCAAGGAAGGCAGCAGGCGCGCAAAUUACCCAAUCCCGACACGGGGAGGUAGUGACAAUAAAUACUGAUACAGGGCUCUUUUGGGUCUUGUAAUUGGAAUGAGUACAAUUUAAAUCCCUUAACGAGGAACAAUUGGAGGGCAAGUCUGGUGCCAGCAGCCGCGGUAAUUCCAGCUCCAAUAGCGUAUAUUAAAGUUGUUGUGGUUAAAAAGCUCGUAGUUGAACCUUGGGCCUGGCUGGCCGGUCCGCCUCACCGCGUGUACUGGUCCGGCCGGGCCUUUCCCUCUGUGGAACCCCAUGCCCUUCACUGGGCGUGGCGGGGAAACAGGACUUUUACUGUGAAAAAAUUAGAGUGCUCCAGGCAGGCCUAUGCUCGAAUACAUUAGCAUGGAAUAAUAGAAUAGGACGUGUGGUUCUAUUUUGUUGGUUUCUAGGACCGCCGUAAUGAUUAAUAGGGACAGUCGGGGGCAUCAGUAUUCAAUUGUCAGAGGUGAAAUUCUUGGAUUUAUUGAAGACUAACUACUGCGAAAGCAUUUGCCAAGGAUGUUUUCAUUAAUCAGGAACGAAAGUUAGGGGAUCGAAGACGAUCAGAUACCGUCGUAGUCUUAACCAUAAACUAUGCCGACUAGGUAACCUUUAAAUGUUAUUUUUUGACCCGUUCGGCACCUUACGAGAAAUCAAAGUG